Portunus trituberculatus (swimming crab) is the source of this 204-nucleotide long non-coding RNA. RefSeq lists it as uncharacterized. Lineage: Eukaryota; Metazoa; Arthropoda; Malacostraca; Decapoda; Portunidae. The record is from RefSeq and is a predicted model, not a curated record. The transcript is spliced from 4 exons.
AAAAAAACGCAGUGUCAGAAUAUGUGCAUCCAAUACAGCGAAGGGCGUGACGGACAAGUAAGCUGAGUUGACAGGAUUACCUACACUCUACGCCCACACACGCGUAGAUGGACCAUUUAGUGUUCGAGUGAAGCAAGGCGUCGGUGGAGGAUUGUGAGAAGCCUAGGUCUUGGCGCGGCCUGACCCAUCAUUGCAACGUUUGGU